GCUGGCGGCGUGCUUAACACAUGCAAGUCGAACGGUGACCCAGGGCUUGCCCUGGUGAUCAGUGGCGAACGGGUGAGUAACACGUGGGCAACCUGCCCCUGACUUCGGGAUAACUCCUCGAAAGAGGAGCUAAUACCGGAUACGACCACUUCGGACAUCCGAUGGUGGUGGAAAGUUUUUCGGUCAGGGAUGGGCCCGCGGCCUAUCAGCUAGUUGUGGGGUAAUGGCCUACCAAGGCGACGACGGGUAGCCGGCCUGAGAGGGCGACCGGCCACACUGGGACUGAGACACGGCCCAGACUCCUACGGGAGGCAGCAGUGGGGAAUAUUGCGCAAUGGCGAAAGCCUGACGCAGCGACGCCGCGUGAGGGGAUGAAGGCCUUCGGGUUGUAAACCUCUUUCAGCAGGGACGAAGCGAAAGUGACGGUACCUGCAGAAGAAGCACCGGCUAACUACGUG
This 458-nucleotide ribosomal RNA is filed under the name uncultured bacterium. RNAcentral's name for it is "bacterial SSU rRNA". It matches the Rfam family "Bacterial small subunit ribosomal RNA", at positions 35 to 507 of the family's 1533-position model. The record is from RNAcentral.